RNAcentral lists this ribosomal RNA (250 nucleotides) under uncultured bacterium. RNAcentral describes it as "partial 16S ribosomal RNA". It matches the Rfam family "Bacterial small subunit ribosomal RNA", at positions 57 to 305 of the family's 1533-position model. The record is from RNAcentral.
GCAAGUCGAGCGGUAACAGGGGUAGCUUGCUACCCGCUGACGAGCGGCGGACGGGUUAGUAAUUCUUAGGAAGCUGCCCUAACGAGGGGGAUAACAGUUGGCAACGACUGCUAAUACCGCAUAACCUCUUUGGAGUAAAGCGGGGGACCUUCGGGUCUCGCGCGUUAGGAUGCGCCCGAGUGGGAUUAGCUAGUUGGUGGGGUAAUGGCUCACCAAGGCGACGAUCUCUAGCUGGUCUGAGAGGAUGAUC